GGGAGCUGGGAGGGACGGAGGGACGGAGCGGGAGAAGGGGAAGUUGUUAAAAAAACAAGUAAAAGGCGUUUUUGGGUGAUUCACUGAUGCCUGAAAAUGUAACUGGUUUGACGAGCCGUGAGCCCCUCAGUGCAGGGGCUGCCGUGCUGGGUGGGUGCUCCCCCUCCUCCGCGGUACCAUCGAAAGCUUAUGGAGUUCUGGCUGAGCUCACAGAAGGAGUCAGGCAGGUGCCAGUGCUGGUGGAAGGGGAGGGGAACAUAUGGCUGGGAACAGAAGGAAGGUGGGAAUGUGACAAGUGAUGACAAAUUGGUUUACUUGGAGAGGAGUUGCACUGUAGCUUGUUCCAGCCUUUGAUUUCUGCCGUGCUGACUUGAGCUGCGUGUGAUUUGCUCUGUGGAAAGUACAUCCCACUCCAAAUGAAACCAGGCAGAGCAAGUCCUUCAAGUAAGCCUUUGUGUCCCAAGAGAAGUAUCCAAGAAUAGCAAAUGUUUGAAAUGUUCUUGCUUAAAUUGCUCCACCUUUCUGUUCUUCAUCUGUAAGAUGAAGAUACUAAUAUUAACUUGCCUCAGGAAUCUUGUGAAGAAAAAGCUGCGUUUGUGAAGCUACCCUUACAGAAAGAAUAACAUAAACACCCAAGAGAAAAUCAACUAAAAUAUAUUUUUAUUCAACACUGCUUCUGAAUGGUUGUUAAAUAAAACCCAAGGCUACUUAGUGAAUAAGGAAGGUUACAAACACUUUAACAAUUCAGGAAGCACAAUUCACCUUGCAGCAUUAUUCAUUUUCUGCACUGAAAAAAGGGUGGAUGUGUGGUGGAAAAACUAAAGUACUUAUGCAAAUGCUGAAAUUAAACCUGUCCAUGGGUUUGUGUUUAAAUUGACUUAUUGCAGGCUCUGAUUCAAAGCUGCCUUAUUGCUGUGGAAUUGAUAUGGACUUUCCCUGGGCAGUUUCUCUGACUGAAGGGUGAAGUCAAGAAUAGUCUGGGGAUGCACAGGUGUAUUGAGUUGUUCCAUUGCAACCUGGGAAAAGCAGAGUUUGCAGAUACAGAUUUACAUGGAAUGAUGCCUGUGAAGUUUCCUGUUUCUUGUUUACCACUCCAGGAUUGAUGAAGACUUCAUCAUGCCAAGCAAAGAUGGGAAUUUUACCAGGAACCUUUAACAUCUUUAUAGUAAUGACAGAGCUUCUUUCCCUGGCUGUGUCUCUGUAUUAAGGUGUUCCUUAUUUUUCAUCUGAUUUUAAAUCCUGUCAGUCUAGUGAGCACUACUCAGGCAGAACUGAGCUGGGUCCUUGUAAGACAAAAUAGCCCAGGACCUCAGCCUGGCAGAAACAUGGGACACAACUCUUGUACUCUUUGUCUUUCCAGCAGGUUGAAACUGCCAUGUUUGCAGUUGUCCCUCCAGUAAUAUACUCACUAAGUGCCAAGACACUAAUCUGGGCAGUGGCAUCCAGUCCAUGAUGAUCCCAGUUCAAAAGAGGAAAAGCAAAUUCAUCCACAGCAAUGCAGAGCAGUAUUUCUUGGAAGGACUGCCACUGCCAAGAGCCAGUGGAUUUAUCUUGUUAGGCAGUAAAAGCCCUUUUCCUGACGCUGCUGACACAGGACAAAAGGAUAAUUUUGCCUUAAUCUAUUUAGCCAUGAAGGUUAAAGUUAACAGGUGAGAAUUUAUUGAUCACAUAAUUUGUUCUUAAGUGUUUUAGUGAUUCUGCAGCCAAAAUUCCUCCGGCAAAUGAAUUUUCAGAAACACUGGGAGUAGAUCAGUGAAGUCGAUCAGCAAAUUGUUAUAGAUUUCCUUUUCCAAAGCAAGAAGCAGGAUAAAAGCAAGAUAAACCUUGCGUGAAAAUUCAAGUGACCCAUUAAUGGCUGAUAGUGUGAUCUCUUUUCACACUCCAUUGAUUUCAGCUCUGGUUUAAACUCUGUUAAACAUUAACGUCAAUGUAAGUGACAAGGUGACUUGCUCUGACAGACUUACCUCUGGUCAAAGACAACUUUCAACUCCAAAAAAAACCCCUAAAUCCUUAGGUUUUUUUAAACUCUAUUCUGGGGAAAGACUGCAAAAUUAGAUCCAACCCUCUGAAUGCAAUAACUUUGUCACUGAUUUGAGGUACAGCACAACGUUAUUACUUGCAGCUGGUGAAAGAAUUUGCCUUUGCUUCCGUUUUUCAUGAAAAAGUCCAGCAGGAUGUCAGGCAGAUGGGGGCAGCAGCACCUCAACUCAGCGUUACAGCAGGCAAGAGCCACACUCAGGGGAAACUUCUGUGUUCCAUCAACACAGAUCUUUUGUGUAGACUCCCAUAAGACAACUUAAAACCACAGUGAUCUCUUUGCCAUUUCAACGAAUCCCUGUUUUUAUUAAUUUUAUUAAUUAUUAAUCAUUAAAUCACUUUACUGUUUUACCCUGUUUUGCCUAUCUUUGUCAUAGUAUGUACUUUUUUUAUAGCAUCUCUCCAGAAAUCUGUGAAUCUGAGAAAAUUUGUGUUUCACAGCAACUCAGGAAACAUUCUGAAAUCUGAGAUUUAUUUCAAAUUUUCACAAUAUUUGUAUCAUUCAUCCCUUAAAAGAAAUGUGUAAUUCCAGAGAACCUCACAAAAUUCAGUACACAAGAGGUACACUACUCAAAAGUAGUACUGGUCCUCAGAACCCAACAGUAUGUAUGAAAUAAUAGGUUUUUAGCACCUAAAAGUGAAAGAUUUGUGGGGGGAAAAACCCACAGAUUUGUAGCAAAUGUAGCAGGGAUCCCAGCCUAUUGGGAUUAGAGUGGUUUCUUGGCUUGCAUCAAAACUUGAGUGUGGAGAAACAAAUGCGUCUGAAAUGACUGCAGCUCCGUUUCACCAAGGCGUUAUUUACUAAUUGUGGCAUAAGGAUUGUAAAAUUGCAACAAAUAACCUUGCUCAACCCCAUUACUUUGCUAUUGUCAGCACUUGGCACUUGUGAAAUUCCUGUGUGCUUGAGCAUUUUUGCCUGCCUGCACUGCAGCUAGGGAUAGCAAGUAAAACUCCUGUGUCUGCUCAGCAGCUGGCAAAGUUUUAUUUGCCAUAAUUCAGUCUGCAUGAGUCAGCACUGCCUCCCUUCACAACAUGGUCUGGCCUGUCUGGAAAGCUGCUUUCUCUAUGGUUACAUAGAUGUUCUGUAAAUCCCAAAAUAAUUUCAGUGUGGUAGGCAAAGAAGCCUUUGCCACACUGAACAAAUACAGUCCAGCUCCCCAUCUGCUACUAAAUCAUAUCAGUGCUUGGCAGGGAACAAAGUUGGGACAUGAAUAUUUUAUUUUAUACAGCUAUGAAGUAAUAGAAAAUCCUGCAAAAUGAAUACAGUAGCCAUUUGUUAUUUUAAAACCUGUGUGGGCUUCUGGUCCAGAGAGCAAACCAAGAUCUCUAGUUCUAUUUCUGAUGCAGCGUGUGCUUUGUGCCUUCUACGACUUUUUGAUAAAUUGCUACUCAGAAUCAAUAUCAGAAGUGCACCACUCUUGUUUUUUUAGGUGUGGAAAGCAAAUAUUAAUUUGUCCUUUUGUUUAUCCCAUUGUGUUUUAUGCCUCAAUUUUAAAAUAAAGAUGUGAGUUAAAA
Parus major (Great Tit) is the source of this 3552-nucleotide long non-coding RNA. RefSeq lists it as uncharacterized. NCBI's taxonomy places the organism in Eukaryota, Metazoa, Chordata, Aves, Passeriformes, Paridae. The transcript is spliced from 2 exons. The record is from RefSeq and is a predicted model, not a curated record.